This is a long non-coding RNA of Symsagittifera roscoffensis, 2856 nucleotides long. RefSeq lists it as uncharacterized. The transcript has 2 exons. The record is from RefSeq and is a predicted model, not a curated record. Lineage: Eukaryota; Metazoa; Xenacoelomorpha; Acoela; Convolutidae.
UAGGUCUCUAGAUACCCAAAAUACAUGAACGCCGUUAAAAACCGGGUUGGAACAAUCCGUUAAGUUACUUUUUAUUAGACAGUGGAACUUUGAUCCAUUUCAGAUGGAUCAACCUAAAACUCGCCUUACCUCAACAUAACAAUCAUAAAACACACUCUAGGAAUUUAAAUUUGUACUCACAUAGUAGCACGCUCAAGAAGUGGGAAAUAAUCCAGUCGGUAAUUAACUCAAGAAUUAAAUAACGUAACUAAAUGAGUCUAAUGUUUUAUAGUUUGAACAAUGAGAACGAGUUUAUACUCUAGACAAUAGUUUUCUUGUGAACCAUUAGGACACUCAAGUUGUCCACCUUUCCACCGAAGGUUCACUCUAGUCCAGUUCCGAAUAACACUCCAGUCGCUAUAAUCCAAUUCGUGGGAAUGCUCUCGUCUCUGUCACAGAUGGGACAGCUCUACUCUCGAUUAUGAUAGUGAUGGAAAUUGCGAAUAGCAAUUUCCUACUGCUUUUUCUUACAACUUUCCCGCGUGUGUGACUCAAUCGUUCUGAAAUUGUUCUGAUUUCUUUUUUCUGAUUUUCAGUUAUCGCGAGAAAAUCGUGCAUGACAGGUUCCAUUCGAAAUUUUGAAAAAUUAAAUUUCACUCCAAAAUCAAGUGUUUUUUGCUUCUCUCAAGGUCAAACUUCCAAAUAUGACCGACUGGCACAUGUUUUAGAACCACGAAACCUCUACAGGACCGAUCAGAAGCGACCAGACGGUUUGACGAUCGUUCCAUGGGCUGUUGAUAAGCAGCUCUUGUGGGAUGUAACGGUUGUAGAAUCUUUCGCGCCUAGUAUUUUUUGUGCCGGGUGCGUUUGUAACCCUGGUACGUCUGCCGCUGAAGCAGAAGAGCAACAAAAUGAUAAGUAUAAAGAUCUAUUAGAUGAUGGGCAUCUUUUUCAACCUCUAGCUUUUGAGAUUCAGGGCGCGGCCAGCCCCAGCACAGAAAUUUGUUUGAGCAAACUUUGUAAGAACUUAAGCAUAUGCACUGAGGAACCCAGAGGUGGCAGUUUUAUAAAACAGAGAAUCUCCCUAGCAAUACUGAUUGCGAACCCCGCUUGCGUAUUCGUAACAAUAAAUGACAAAAUAACUUUCGAAGAAAUUUUUUAUUUGUAACAUUUGUAUUUUACAUUUUCUCGUGUCGAGUUGCGUGUUCUUAUUGAAAAAACGUAACCCGUUUUGGUUUUAAUUGUAAGGACAUCAACACUUGUCAUCUUCUUUUAUCAUUGUCACUUCCAUAUCUAGAAAAUUCCAAGGAUUUUGACUGGAAUACGUGAUGAAGGGACUCCUGACUGUAACCUCGGUUACUAUGAUACUUUUGACCUUCUGAUUACCUUUAUAGCUAGAAAAAAGCUCUAAGCUUUCUUUUUCUUUAACCUCACCACGGACAAAAAAACUACACAAUUGAAAGGAACUGUGUAUUGUGCUCGGAAAGUUCUGUGCUCUACCUUCACGACAACUGACUAUCUUUGUCAAACGUCACUGAACGUAGGAAUACACUUAUGAAGGUAGUUUUUAUUUAGAUGAAAGUCCUAAAUUUAUUUCACGCUCAAGUUUGAUUUUCGGGAUUUGACUUGGAUUUAUUUCCAAGUUCAUUUCGUUUCAUAUGUCCAUGGCAAACUCACCGUCGAACAGGAAAAGUGUAUAAGUCGUCACGGAAAACGUGAUCGACUUCUAGUUUCGAAAGUAGAUUUUAAUUCACGUAUAUCCCAGCGAAAUAAAAAAAAAUUACUCAUUGGUUGAGUUUUUUCAAAUUGGGGGUAAUUUCGUCAAAAAGUGUAUCAUAACUACAUCAUGCCUCUGUGUAGCAGAGCUACAGCAUGCCCUUGUUCAGUUGUCCAUUCAGUUUUUGGACUCAAUUGAUCUUUCGUGUUUCUAUUGAAAGAUCAAUUCGACUUAGUUUCGCCUGACAGUUAGCUUAAAUCGAGCUAGUUAAGUCAAUCUAUUCGAUUUGUAAAGAUUUGUAAGCUGCUCUUUUAAUGCAAACUAAGAUUUGAAAUGACAAGUAAACAAAUAGUUAUAUAUUCGUUUUGGUACUUGUAUAUAAGACUUUGAGCUGAACAUUCAAUCACUGACAUGACGGCUAAGUUUUCAGCCUUUGUGCGAACGUGUGUACUCACCUCAUUGGUCGUCAUGUAUGCGAAUGUCUGGAUCUUUACGCUUUCCCAGGAGCGCAGAAAAUAUCCAUGGUAUUAUUUUUUAACAAUGUGGAACUUUUUCUUCCAAACUUUGUACAGUGUUUUUGCUGUUAUUUCAUCGGCAGCUGAACUCACUUUUGGUCUGCCCAUACUUUCCAAAGUGAUCAUUGAAUCUAUCAUUUCAUACGCAAUUACCCCCUUAUCUUCUUUUGUGGUGAUUGUGUUCUGGGCUAUGUUUCUAUAUGAUGAAAAACUGAUGGUGAGAAGUGGCGAAGCUGACUUGCUACCCCCGUGGCUGAACUAUACUAUUCAUUUAUACAUUUUGUUGCUUCCUGCUGUCGAGUUUUUCUUCCUUCCUAGACCUCGUUUCUCAGCCAGAAAUGCGAUGCUGUCAAUGGCUGGUAUCGGAUUGGCAUAUCUUGGACUACUGGAGUUCCUUAUGAACGUUUAUGAGAUCACACCGUACCCCUUCUAUCAGUUGAUGUCAACGUCUUCACGAUUUUUGCUCAAUCUCUUCUUCAUAGCAGGUGUAGCUCCUGUAUGCUGUCUCCUCACGUGGAGUUUCAGAGCAGCUGUUCACUUGUUGAAAGAACAAAGCAAAGAAAAGUUUAACUAGUCUAGCAACGUUGUGUUCCAGUAUUUUUUGUCAUUCUUGCUUGAAAAUCACAAUAAAACCUGGUACAAUCA